RNAcentral lists this long non-coding RNA (354 nucleotides) under Amborella trichopoda. RNAcentral's name for it is "long non-coding RNA (ATRI_LNC001797)". Lineage: Eukaryota; Viridiplantae; Streptophyta; Magnoliopsida; Amborellales; Amborellaceae. The record is from RNAcentral.
UGAAUCUUAAUCGGUCAAGAACUUUAAUCGGCCAAAUGGUAGCAAAGAGCAAACUGGCCGGGGAAAAGGAGCAACAAUCAAGAAACUGAUCAAGACAAUCAUUGAAAAUAAGACAACAGCACACUCGAACCAUGGCUAGAACUUCUAGGUGGUGAGAGGCUAAUUCAUUUCGAGAUGCGUAGUAGAAUAGAAGCUUGGAUAGCUAAUAUCUAAGACCAAUUCGGCAACCUCAUUGGCUCAGGGAUAACGUGAAUCGGGGCUAGGAACGGUAAGAACCAAGACCAAAUAGGACUGGCUCAUGUGACAACUGAUCAACGAACUUGAGAAAUAGACAAAACGAUUUCUGGCUCUGAC